RNAcentral lists this long non-coding RNA (1758 nucleotides) under Theobroma cacao (cacao). RNAcentral's name for it is "long non-coding RNA (TCAC_LNC001417)". The record is from RNAcentral. Lineage: Eukaryota; Viridiplantae; Streptophyta; Magnoliopsida; Malvales; Malvaceae.
UAAAGCCAAGUAAAUGGAGACAGUUAAAUCAUCCCAUGACAAUAUGAUUCAUAACAUUUAAAACUCAUUUCAAUUCAUAUAAAACAAUUACAUUUCAUUGAAAUAACCAACAAGGCUUAUGAUUCUCUUAAAAACUUGGCUUGUGCCAAAACUCAUACUUAGUGACACCUUGGCCCGGGCAUCCAACCGAGUCCGUCAAGGAUGUAAAAUGACAUAUACCCAUAAACCAUGUUUUUACUUUUAAAAUAUAGUCAUUCCUUGACGUUGGCUGAGUUUUAUCCUCAUGUGGUGGUUCGGCGUGAAGUGAACUCCAAACUUACCUUAGGAGAUACCCUUUCGCGCCUUUCGUACUAAGGUAAAAUAUAACGAGAUUUACCGUGCCCCUCUAAUAGACUAGUCCACGAAAACCCACCCACUGCAGUAAGCUAAUCAAAUAACCCACCAAAUCAAUAAAAAUUUCGACAGCAUGACGUGGCUAAUAUGAUAUUACCCAGCCUGUCAAGGUAAAAAAAAACAGUUCGUAUAAUUCACAAACCACAAAUCCAGCCAUUCAUGCCAUCACAUUGUCAUAAGCCAUCAAUUCAAACCAUAUAUCAAACACGAGUAUAUAGUCUCCACCUACUCAAUUUCCAAAAUCAUCAUUGAAUUGCAAAACAAUUUAUAAAUCUCAUUCAUUUAACCAACACUUAACCUAUAAAACAAAAAAAUCUACGGUUUAAGUUCAUUAUUCUUUAAAAUCAUAAAAACGAAUAUAAACUACUUUAGAUAGUUAAGGUGAACAUUUGAUUACUCAAAAUAGCGGGAGUUUAGAGUACUCCUAUUCUUGGUCCUCAGGUACGAUAUCUUUACCCUUAUCAAAGGGCUCACCACCUAUACAUAAUACACGACAUGUAAUUCAAUAUAUUUGUGCCAAACUGUUAUAAAACUAUUUCAGGCUCUAUAUGAAUGCAUGAAAUUGAAUGAGAAUUGUUCGAAUAAUCACUUAAAGACGGUGUUCUACGUGGGUUCAAUUAUGAUUGGACUGAAUUUGUAUUCGACCUAACUCGAACUAUACACUAUUGAAUUAACCAAAACAUCCGAUUCAACUUCAAAUAUAUUCAUUACACUUUCAAUAAUCCAAAUACACCAAAGUACCUCAAUGAGCUUGAUUGUGACUUAAUUCAUCAUAACCGAAUUCAUUCCGAUUCCGAACUAACGUGCUAAUCAGUGUUAACAAAGUCCAAUAAAUCCAUCUAUAUCAUUAAGAAUCAAAUCCAAGUCCAUUCACUAUGAUUUUCUUAUUAUUGUUCAAGUCGUUUACUAAAGGAACUAUACUUUUCGAUAACUGUUUUCGAUAUCCGAUACCAUAAAUCAUCAAUUACAAGCUAAAUAACAUGAAAUACAACAAAAUCCAUCAUCAACAUGUCAUCUAUAAAAUUCAGCCAAAGAAGGUUGUUGAAAGGCAUGUGAUUUUCUUUCUUGUUUUUCAUGCCAAACAUCAUCAAACAACUAAAAACACUAAGAUAUCAUGAAAUCUAGCAAAAUCCAUCAUCAAAAUCUCUCUCCCUAUGUUCGGCAAGCAAGUAUUCCCUCAUGAAAACUUGUGUUUCAUCCAUAGAAAAUGAAAAAAAAAAGUAUGGGAAAGGUAGAUCUUAAGCUGAAAUUGAAAAAUCUUACCUUUGAUUGUUUUGUUCUUUGAAAUUCAACAAAUUUCUCUUGAAUUUUCCUCUCUAGGGUUUGUUUCUAUUCUUUUCUCUUUGUUCUUUGCUUUGGCCGGCC